This 215-nucleotide ribosomal RNA is filed under the name uncultured bacterium. RNAcentral's name for it is "partial 16S ribosomal RNA". It matches the Rfam family "Bacterial small subunit ribosomal RNA", at positions 1277 to 1500 of the family's 1533-position model. The record is from RNAcentral.
GAAAAUAUGUCCCAGUUCAGAUUGCAGGCUGCAACUCGCCUGCAUGAAGUCGGAAUUGCUAGUAAUCGCAGAUCAGCAUGCUGCGGCGAAUACGUUCCGGGCCUUGUACACACCGCCCGUCAAGCCAUGAAAGCCGGGGGGCGCCUGAAGUCCGUGACCGCGAGGGUCGGCCUAGGGUGAAACCGGGGAUUGGGGCUAAGUCGUAACAAGGUAAC